GAGGAAAGUCCGGGCUCUAUUUAUAGAAGUAUUGCUGUAUAAAAUGCAGUGUAGGUAACUAUGAGGAUCGUGCCACAGAAAUAAACCGCCUAUAUAUUUAGGUAAGGGUGCAAUGGUACGGUAAGAGCGUACCAGAAAUAUUAUUAAGAUAUUUGCUAGGUAAACCCCGUAUUUGAGCAAAGUAUUCAAUUAAUUUUAAAAACUUUCUAUAAGUUUUAUUUAAGAAUAUCUAUUAUUUAAAAUUGAUUUAUUUAUAUACUGCUUUAAGUAAUUUAUUACUUUAGAUUAAUAAUUACCCUUUUUUUAGUUUAACUUAAAUAAAGAACAAAACCCGGCUUAU
RNAcentral lists this RNase P RNA (340 nucleotides) under Sonderella linearis. RNAcentral describes it as "rnpB". It matches the Rfam family "Bacterial RNase P class A", at positions 43 to 351 of the family's 367-position model. Rfam says of the family: Ribonuclease P (RNase P) is a ubiquitous endoribonuclease, found in archaea, bacteria and eukarya as well as chloroplasts and mitochondria. The record is from RNAcentral. Lineage: Eukaryota; Rhodophyta; Florideophyceae; Ceramiales; Rhodomelaceae.